GAAGCGGCAACAGCUCAAAUUUGAAAUCUGGCCCCUUGGGGGCCCGAGUUGUAAUUUGCAGAGGAUGCUUCGGCGUGGGCCCCGGUCCAAGUUCCUUGGAACAGGACGUCGCAGAGGGUGAGAAUCCCGUACGUGGCCGGCGGUGCUCGCCAUGUGAAGCUCCUUCGACGAGUCGAGUUGUUUGGGAAUGCAGCUCUAAAUGGGAGGUAAAUUUCUUCUAAAGCUAAAUACCGGCCAGAGACCGAUAGCGCACAAGUAGAGUGAUCGAAAGAUGAAAAGCACUUUGGAAAGAGAGUCAAAAAGUACGUGAAAUUGUUGAAAGGGAAGCGCUUGCAACCAGACCUGACCGUGGUCGCUCAUCCGGGCUCCUGCCCGGUGCACUCUUCUGCGGUCAGGCCAGCAUCAGUUCCGGCGGUUGGAUAAAGGCGGCGGGAAUGUGGCUCCCUCCGGGGAGUGUUAUAGCCCGCCGCGCCAUGCGGCCAGCCGGGACUGAGGUCCGCGCUUCGGCUAGGAUGCUGGCGUAAUGGUCGCAAGCGGCCCGUCUUGAAACACGGACCAAGGAGUCUAACAUCUAUGCGAGUGUUUGGGUGUCAAGCCCGGGCGCGGAAUGAAAGUGAACGGAGGCGGGAACCUUCGGGUGCACCGUCGACCGAUCCUGAUGUCUUCGGAUGGAUUUGAGUAAGAGCAUAGCUGUUGGGACCCGAAAGAUGGUGAACUAUGCCUGAAUAGGGUGAAGCCAGAGGAAACUCUGGUGGAGGCUCGCAGCGGUUCUGACGUGCAAAUCGAUCGUCAAAUUUGGGCAUAGGGGCGAAAGACUAAUCGAACUAUCUAGUAGCUGGUUCCUGCCGAAGUUUCCCUCAGGAUAGCAGUAACGUUUUCAGUUUUAUGAGGUAAAGCGAAUGAUUAGAGGCAUGGGGGUUGAAACAACCUUCACCUAUUCUCAAACUUUAAAUAUGUAAGAAGUCC
RNAcentral lists this ribosomal RNA (966 nucleotides) under Hysterobrevium mori. Its description in RNAcentral is "eukaryotic LSU rRNA". It matches the Rfam family "Eukaryotic large subunit ribosomal RNA", at positions 95 to 1083 of the family's 3401-position model. The record is from RNAcentral. Lineage: Eukaryota; Fungi; Ascomycota; Dothideomycetes; Hysteriales; Hysteriaceae.